This 448-nucleotide ribosomal RNA is filed under the name Mycobacterium lentiflavum. RNAcentral describes it as "bacterial SSU rRNA". It matches the Rfam family "Bacterial small subunit ribosomal RNA", at positions 31 to 494 of the family's 1533-position model. The record is from RNAcentral. Lineage: Bacteria; Bacillati; Actinomycetota; Actinomycetes; Mycobacteriales; Mycobacteriaceae.
GAACGCUGGCGGCGUGCUUAACACAUGCAAGUCGAACGGAAAGGCCUCUUCGGAGGUACUCGAGUGGCGAACGGGUGAGUAACACGUGGGUAAUCUGCCCUGCACUUCGGGAUAAGCCUGGGAAACUGGGUCUAAUACCGGAUAGGACCUUUUGGCGCAUGCCUUUUGGUGGAAAGCUUUUGCGGUGUGGGAUGGGCCCGCGGCCUAUCAGCUUGUUGGUGGGGUGACGGCCUACCAAGGCGACGACGGGUAGCCGGCCUGAGAGGGUGUCCGGCCACACUGGGACUGAGAUACGGCCCAGACUCCUACGGGAGGCAGCAGUGGGGAAUAUUGCACAAUGGGCGCAAGCCUGAUGCAGCGACGCCGCGUGGGGGAUGACGGCCUUCGGGUUGUAAACCUCUUUCAGCAGGGACGAAGCGCAAGUGACGGUACCUGCAGAAGAAGCACC